This 1372-nucleotide ribosomal RNA is filed under the name uncultured bacterium. RNAcentral describes it as "bacterial SSU rRNA". It matches the Rfam family "Bacterial small subunit ribosomal RNA", at positions 28 to 1381 of the family's 1533-position model. The record is from RNAcentral.
GAUGAACGCUGGCGGCGUGCCUAAUACAUGCAAGUCGAGCGAACGGACGAGAAGCUUGCUUCUCUGAUGUUAGCGGCGGACGGGUGAGUAACACGUGGAUAACCUACCUAUAAGACUGGGAUAACUUCGGGAAACCGGAGCUAAUACCGGAUAAUAUUUUGAACCGCAUGGUUCAAAAGUGAAAGACGGUCUUGCUGUCACUUAUAGAUGGAUCCGCGCUGCAUUAGCUAGUUGGUAAGGUAACGGCUUACCAAGGCAACGAUGCAUAGCCGACCUGAGAGGGUGAUCGGCCACACUGGAACUGAGACACGGUCCAGACUCCUACGGGAGGCAGCAGUAGGGAAUCUUCCGCAAUGGGCGAAAGCCUGACGGAGCAACGCCGCGUGAGUGAUGAAGGUCUUCGGAUCGUAAAACUCUGUUAUUAGGGAAGAACAUAUGUGUAAGUAACUGUGCACAUCUUGACGGUACCUAAUCAGAAAGCCACGGCUAACUACGUGCCAGCAGCCGCGGUAAUACGUAGGUGGCAAGCGUUAUCCGGAAUUAUUGGGCGUNAAGCGCGCGUANGCGGUUUUUUAAGUCUGAUGUGAAAGCCCACGGCUCAACCGUGGAGGGUCAUUGGAAACUGGAAAACUUGAGUGCAGAAGAGGAAAGUGGAAUUCCAUGUGUAGCGGUGAAAUGCGCAGAGAUAUGGAGGAACACCAGUGGCGAAGGCGACUUUCUGGUCUGUAACUGACGCUGAUGUGCGAAAGCGUGGGGAUCAAACAGGAUUAGAUACCCUGGUAGUCCACGCCGUAAACGAUGAGUGCUAAGUGUUAGGGGGUUUCCGCCCCUUAGUGCUGCAGCUAACGCAUUAAGCACUCCGCCUGGGGAGUACGACCGCAAGGUUGAAACUCAAAGGAAUUGACGGGGACCCGCACAAGCGGUGGAGCAUGUGGUUUAAUUCGAAGCAACGCGAAGAACCUUACCAAAUCUUGACAUCCUUUGACAACUCUAGAGAUAGAGCCUUCCCCUUCGGGGGACAAAGUGACAGGUGGUGCAUGGUUGUCGUCAGCUCGUGUCGUGAGAUGUUGGGUUAAGUCCCGCAACGAGCGCAACCCUUAAGCUUAGUUGCCAUCAUUAAGUUGGGCACUCUAAGUUGACUGCCGGUGACAAACCGGAGGAAGGUGGGGAUGACGUCAAAUCAUCAUGCCCCUUAUGAUUUGGGCUACACACGUGCUACAAUGGACAAUACAAAGGGCAGCGAAACCGCGAGGUCAAGCAAAUCCCAUAAAGUUGUUCUCAGUUCGGAUUGUAGUCUGCAACUCGACUACAUGAAGCUGGAAUCGCUAGUAAUCGUAGAUCAGCAUGCUACGGUGAAUACGUUCCCGGGUCU